RNAcentral lists this ribosomal RNA (680 nucleotides) under Curtobacterium sp. I12A-01657. RNAcentral describes it as "bacterial SSU rRNA". It matches the Rfam family "Bacterial small subunit ribosomal RNA", at positions 97 to 790 of the family's 1533-position model. Lineage: Bacteria; Bacillati; Actinomycetota; Actinomycetes; Micrococcales; Microbacteriaceae. The record is from RNAcentral.
GGCGAACGGGUGAGUAACACGUGAGUAACCUGCCCCUGACUCUGGGAUAAGCGUUGGAAACGACGUCUAAUACUGGAUAUGAUCACUGGCCGCAUGGUCUGGUGGUGGAAAGAUUUUUUGGUUGGGGAUGGACUCGCGGCCUAUCAGCUUGUUGGUGAGGUAAUGGCUCACCAAGGCGACGACGGGUAGCCGGCCUGAGAGGGUGACCGGCCACACUGGGACUGAGACACGGCCCAGACUCCUACGGGAGGCAGCAGUGGGGAAUAUUGCACAAUGGGCGAAAGCCUGAUGCAGCAACGCCGCGUGAGGGAUGACGGCCUUCGGGUUGUAAACCUCUUUUAGUAGGGAAGAAGCGAGAGUGACGGUACCUGCAGAAAAAGCACCGGCUAACUACGUGCCAGCAGCCGCGGUAAUACGUAGGGUGCAAGCGUUGUCCGGAAUUAUUGGGCGUAAAGAGCUCGUAGGCGGUUUGUCGCGUCUGCUGUGAAAUCCCGAGGCUCAACCUCGGGCUUGCAGUGGGUACGGGCAGACUAGAGUGCGGUAGGGGAGAUUGGAAUUCCUGGUGUAGCGGUGGAAUGCGCAGAUAUCAGGAGGAACACCGAUGGCGAAGGCAGAUCUCUGGGCCGUAACUGACGCUGAGGAGCGAAAGCGUGGGGAGCGAACAGGAUUAGAUACCCUGG